Molecule: transfer RNA, 98 nt
Filed under: Arthrobacter sp. Bi83
Lineage: Bacteria; Bacillati; Actinomycetota; Actinomycetes; Micrococcales; Micrococcaceae
Description: tRNA-Arg
Source: RNAcentral
UGUCAGCUGGGCUGCGGUGUCGGCAGACCGCAGGACCACGAAUCCCACACCGAGUUGUUCGAGUUCGGGCCGCGGAUCCACUCCGUGGCCGGCAACCA